Molecule: transfer RNA, 85 nt
Filed under: subsurface metagenome
Description: tRNA-Leu
Source: RNAcentral
CGGUGGUGGGAUGGUGUCCAGGGCUACUCAAGAUGGUUUCAAGGCGGAACCAUUACCGCACAAGUUCGAGGCCGGUACUCCCAAC